AUACGUAGGUGGCAAGCGUUGUCCGGAAUUACUGGGUGUAAAGGGCGUGUAGGCGGGGCGGCAAGUCAGAUGUGAAAUACCGUGGCUUAACUGCGGGGGUGCAUCUGAAACUGUCGUUCUUGAGUGUCGGAGAGGAAAGUGGAAUUCCCAGUGUAGCGGUGAAAUGCGUAGAGAUUGGGAGGAACACCAGUGGCGAAGGCGGCUUUCUGGACGAUAACUGACGCUGAGGCGCGAAAGCGUGGGUAGCAAACAGGAUUAGAUACCCUGGUAGUCCACGCCGUAAACGAUGGAUACUAGGUGUAGGAGGUAUCGACCCCUUCUGUGCCGCAGUUAACACAAUAAGUAUCCCACCUGGGGAGUACGGCCGCAAGGUUGAA
RNAcentral lists this ribosomal RNA (377 nucleotides) under uncultured bacterium. RNAcentral describes it as "bacterial SSU rRNA". It matches the Rfam family "Bacterial small subunit ribosomal RNA", at positions 523 to 898 of the family's 1533-position model. The record is from RNAcentral.